CCAAAUACAAAUAUACAUACUUAAAAAUCUAUCGAAUACUACACUAUUACAAAAGUUACAUAACUCUCAACCAAGUUUUGGACUAUAUCCGGUGUAUGGAGUUCUACAAGCUUUGCUCUUGAAACGCCGUCGACGAAAUACACGCCCAACAACGACAGAGGCGAAACCUAGCUCGGAAGACCGAAACCCAACGAAAUCCUUCAACCUCCCCUCACAUUGCUCACCGUUUCAAAGCCUUCAGUAAAUGGACACGAAAGGAACAACUUCAAAGGAACACGAAAACAUUAAAUGGAUGCAGAGAGAGCUUCGGAGAGAAACGAAAAUCUACAAUGGAGCAAAAAGAGAGAGAGGUUAAAGAGAGAGUGCUUCGAAGGAGAAAUACGGAUUCAAACCACUGAGGGUGUUUUUGGAACAACACAAAAUCUCCUUUUUCAAAUCAUUAUUUUAAUUAAAAAAAACAUUAAAUCACCCAAUAGAUUGCUGACACGUAGCGUUGUCAAAUUGUUGUUAAAAUUUGGUUGUUAUCGGUAUCCCUAUAGGUAAAUGGCUCUGGCAGACGAACUUAUAUAACUUAAAUUUAAUUUUAAUUUUUCAGAGGAAUGAAAUUACUAUAUUUAAAAAAAAUUAAAACUAAAUUCAAACAAAAUAAUAAAUGCAAAUUUAAAUUCACAUCACACUUGUCUUAACAUUUUACUUUCAGAUAAAGAAACUAAAGCUAUAGAAAAUUACUUUAAUAUGAAAAAUUGUUUUGUGUUUAAUUAAAAAAUUUAAUAUGAAAUGUUUGCAAAUUGUAUAAAAAAAAAAACCAUACGGAACUCAGUUUAAGGGGAAGUGGUCUAGGAUUUUGAAUUUUUUUAAACAGAAAAUGAAUCUUGUUCAAAUUAUUUACAUAAUAAAAACAUUAACAUUGAUAAUUAUCGUGAAUAUAAAAUUAAGUUCACUAUAAAAUAUUAAUAUUAAAUUAAUUAUUCCAUUAUUAUUAAUUGAAAAUUUGUAAUUGGCUAUAAUUAUUAAUUUAAAUUAUUGUCAAUAAAUGUAUAAACUUAGUUUUAAUUGUAAAUGUACUAUUUAAAAAGUAGUUAAAAUAUGGUCUUGUAAGUCACAAGUCAUGUAUUAUGGGUUGACUUGUGUAAAUAGCUAGUCUAAACAAAUGGUUUAAUGUUGUUUUUUAUUCAUGAUUUAGGUGAGGAGCUUAACUUGUGUUAUGAUACAUCAUGUAUGCAACAUCAUCAUUAGUUUUGAUUUGAAUAAUUUGUUCUCUACAUUUAAAUCUAUGAUUCAUUUAAUUUUUAGGUUUGAUGAUCAUUAUUCUAGCUAGAGUUAUAACAUUUGUAGGUAAGGUUGUAAACAUUAUGAAUUUCCAUGAUGGUGGCUCGUUGGAUAAGUCCUCCGAAGUAAAGUAUUGCUCCAAUGAAAACCAUGUUAUCAAGAGUUGUGGAAGAGCUUGCAUUAGGUGAAUUUAUAAGCGUUAUAAUUUCUUUCACAAAUAUUAUAAACUUAGUCUAGAACUAAAUAUUGGUAUUGAAAGGAAAUUAAUACUUAUAAGGAAUCAUUUGUACCACACGAACAUCAACUAAUAUCUUAGCAACAUUGUACCUAAUUAGACUAUCAUUUACAAGUUUAGGUUGACCAUAACACAACUUAUUAAAUAUUUUUUAUUGAAAAAAAUCCAAAAGGCAAUGCAAUACUCUUUCUUCAAAAUUAAUGAGGGUGUCACUACAAUAAAUUGUAUAAUAAAAUGAAUUUUGAAGUAUCUAAAAAAAUUAUAAAGGAGUUGAAUAUUUUUAUUGAAAAACUUUUUUCACAACCAAUAUAAUAGCACUCUCAUCGAGGAUCAAAAGAUUUUGCGUAAGGUGUUAAACACUCGACUUUUGGAAAUCAAAUUAAAUGACUUCUUUCCGAGUGUGUUUUAGUCAUUAAAAGGGUUUGUUGCAGCGUUUUAAUAAAGUUUGCUUUUUAAUAAAGAAUCAUUUAACGUAAAGAUCAUUUAUACAAAAAAUAAAGUGCAACUGUAGAUUUUGUAAGAGAAGCACUAGUGGAAAAACGACGUUUAACGUUAGCUCAUAGACGUCGGUCAACAGUCCACCGACGUAAUAUGAUGACCAGUGACAACUCCGUAAAUAACUGAAACUAGUAGACGUCGGCUACUUGUGUAACCGAUGUCUCAAACAAUAGAGACGUUGGGCACACUGCACAUUGACGUCUAAAAGGUCUGCAGGAAGGUGAAUAGUCGCCAUAUGGACGUCUAAUACGAGCACACCGACAUCUAUACUCGACUUUAGACGUCGCCUGGAAGCAAGAGUCGUCGAAAGUUCUGGCAGGAGAUCAAUAGUCGCCACAUAGACGUCGGUUAGCUGAUCGCAGACGUCUGUGUCCUGACAGGUUGGUGGAUGUAAUUAAUGUUCGUGCUAAUAGACGUCGGUGCUGCUUAAGAACAGACGUCUAUAGCCUAACAGUUAGGUGGAUUGUAAUAAUUAUUCCGCCAAGUAGACGACGGUUUGACAGGUGGUGACAUCUAUAACAUUAGAUAUGUCGAUCGACCAUGCAACAGACGCCUAAAAUUCGCGCCAUUAAUUAUAUUUAAAUUAAAAAGACAUCAAAUUAGUUACAACAUCGACGUCUAUAACAUUAUAGAUGUCAGUGGAUUAUUGUAACCGACAUCUAUAGCCAUUUAUACUGCAGAACGCGAACCCGCGAGCAAUUACCAUCCUUGAUCGUCUUCUUCCUCGCGAUUUCUGUUGCCACAUUGCUUUCUAGGUUGAUUUUCUCGAUUUUGCACCGUUAAAAUUCAGUUUUACUCCGAUUAAGUUACUCUUUGCUGAAAUAUCUUCCAUUUGAACAGAUUAAAAUUCGUCUUCGUUGCGUUUUGAUGCAGUUUGUGGUAUGUUCUUGGGCGACGUUUUUGACCGUUUUUGGCCUAUAUUUUUGGGCGAGCAGUCUUCCAUUUACCUCCAUUGUUGUUUUAAUCUGCUAAAAAGGUUAGCUUAUUUGUUAAAAACUUUUAUUGUAUGUAUGUUAUUGUCUUUUAUGUAUGCAUGUUAUUGGCUUUUGCGUUUGCAUGUUUUUGGCUUUUACGUAUGCAUGUGUUAUCGGCUUUUGAAUAUGCAUGUGAUAAAUUUUAGUUGUGUUAGAUUAUAAGUAUCAAAUCAAUGAGUGAAACUUAGUUCCCGUUUGAAAUUUAACAUAAACAAUUAAUCUUUUAAUCGUUUGUAUUAAAUUUUGAAUUGUCCGAUUGGACAGUUUGGGAAAAUUAUUUUUCAUAAAUUUGGUAUAACAUGUACGUUGGAGUUUAUGCAUAAGACUGAUGAAAUUUCGGUUCAUUAUUUGUGUUGUUCUCUGGAUGCAUAUUUGAUUGUGGUAAUUUGUGACUAUUCUCAUUUCGUGUAUUUUGGAGACCAAUGCAAAAUGCUGCCCAAAUUUUAUCAAAUUUAUGAUGUAGACUUCUUUGCACAUGUCUUAGCAAUUUAUGAAAAAUAUUUUUCCCGAAUGGGUAGGGCCUAACCUUGUGAGAGUUAAGAAUUUUAUACUGAUGACCUAUGUUACAAACAUAAUAUGGAUCGAAGCUAGAUGAAUGCACGUCGCAUCUCUGAAGAAUAUGAGAAGGGUGUUUCGGUGUUCUUGCAAUAUGUUAAAGAAAAUGCAAAGUCUGUGAACGGGACAUAUUUUUGUCCUUGUGUUCGUUGUCUUAAUCAAAUACGACAAGACUUAGGCAAUUUGCAUGAUCAUCUAUUCAUGUUCAGCAUAACGAGAACGUAUACCGUUUGGACUUGGCAUGGAGAAGUACUGGACCAGCCUAUGACGUCACGAGGAACAAAUNAUGUGGAAGAAUGGAUGAGUGAUCAUUUAGAGGACAUCAUACGUGAUGUUGGCGAAGAUAACUUUAGAAGAGCUAAUUUGUACGAUUCUCUUAUCAGUGAUUCAAAGCAACUAUUGUACCCAGGCUGCACAAACUUUACAUGUUUGUCUGCAACUUUGAAGUUGUUCAGUUUAAAAGCAAGGAACAGAUGGACCGAUAAAAGUUUCACGGAGUUGUUGGAGUUGCUGAAGGAGAUGCUUCCAGAAAAUAAUACUCUUCCUAUUAGAAAUUACGAGGCCAAAAAAGUUUUAUGUCCAAUGGGUCUUGAAUAUCAGAAGAUACAUGUUUGCCCCAAUGAUUGUGUUUUGUACAUCAAGGAGUUUCCUUCACUAAAGUACUGUCCAACAUGUGGUUUAAGCCGUUUUAAAAAGAAAUCUGAUAAAAACACUGGUGAAGAAGUUAAUGAUGGUGCACCUGGUAAGGUCAUGUGGUAUUUGCCUAUAAUACCUAGGUUCAAACGUAUGUUCUCUGUUAAGGAGGAUGCAAAGAACCUUAAAUGACACGUUUUAGGAAGAAAGUGCGAUAGUCUUCUUUGACACCCAACAGAUUCACCAUAGUGGAAGAAGAUGGAUGAAACAUUUCCAGAUUUGGUGCAGAUCCAAGAAACUUAAGACUUGCACUUGCAACUGAUGGUAUGAAUUCGUACGGGAAUUUAAGUAGCAAACACAGUUCAUGGCCAGAAAUGUUGAUGAUAUACAAUCUUUCUCCUUUGUUGUGCAUGAAGAGAAAAUAUGUCAUGUUGUCAAUGAUGAUAUCUGGUCCUAAACAACCUGGCAAUGACAUUGAUGUUUACUUGAAACCUUUAAUUGAUGAUUUGAAAUUGUUGUGGGAAGAAGGUGUCGAAGUUUUUGAUUCAGAUGUUGAAGAGAAUUUCCGUUUGCGUGCAAUGUUGUUUUACACUAUAAGUGAUUUCCCAACCUAUGGAAACUUGAGCGGUUAUAGUGUUAAAGGACAUUUUGCUUGUCCGGUUUGUGAAGAAAACAUUAGUUACCUUCAAUUGAAGCAUGGUCAGAAGACGGUUUAUACAAGACAUCGGAAAUUACUUCCUCACAAUCACCCUUAUCUUAGAUUGAAAAAAGCAUUCAAUGGAACUGCCGAGGAUGAGGAUGUGUGCAGACCCCGAAAUGGUGAAAAGGUGUACAACGAAGUCAAAAACGUUGACAUUGUAUUCAGAAAACAUCGUAAAAGUACAUCUACAAAAAAUGUUUGGAAGAAACGAUCAGUAUUUUUUAAUCUUCCUUAUUGGUCUAAACUUGAUGUUAGACAUUGUAUUGAUGUGAUGCACGUAGAAAAAAAUGUUUGUGACAAUGUCAUCGAACCUUUAUUAAACGUAAAAGGGAAGACCAAAGAUGGAAUAAAAGCAAGACAAGAUUUGACUGAAAUGGGAAUCCGAACAGAGUUACAUCUACAAACAAUAGGUAGACGCACCUAUUUGCCCCCAGCCUGUCAUACUUUUUCUAAAAUAGAAAAAUAAAGUUUUUGUAAGUCUUUAAGAAGUGUGAAGGUUCCACAAGGUUAUUCUUCUAAUAUUAGUAACCUUGUUUCUAUGCAAGAGCUAAAGUUAGUUGGUUUAAAGUCUCGUGAUUGUCAUAUAUUGAUGCAACAAUUGUUACCAGUUGUUAUUUGAGCCAUAUUACCUCCUUCUGUCAAGGGUAUUCUGACACGUCUGUGUUUGUUCUUUAAUGCCAUUUGCAUGAAAGUUGUUGACCCUCGAUGUUUAGAUCAAUUGGAAAAUGAAGGAAUAAGACUACUAUGUGAAUUAGAGAUGUAUUUUCCACCUUCAUUUUUUGAUAUCAUGGUUCAUUUAAUCGUUCAUCUAGUCCGAGAAAUUCAAAUAUGUGGGCCGGUUUACCUAAGGUGGAUGUAUCAUGUUGAAAGAUACAUGAAAAUCUUAAACGGAUAUGUCAAGAAUCAGUAUAGACCAGAAGCUUCAAUCAUAGAGCGAUACAUUGCAGAAGAAGCCAUUGAAUUUUGUUUAGCUUACAUGCCAAGUUGUGAACCAGUGGGGCUACCCAAGAGCAUACAUGAAGGAAAAUGUGAAGGUAAGGGUCGCGGUGUGAGGAUUCAAAGAGUGAGUAGAAAAGAAGUUAAUCAAGCUCAUUUGUACAUCUUAAACAACACUGAUGAUGUUAUUCCUUACAUUUCUGAACACGUUAAUAAAAUAAAGGCAUCACACCCAAGAAUGGGUGAAAAAUGACAUCUUAAUGAGCAUGUCAAAACCUUCUUACAAUGGUUUAAGAAAAAGAUUUAUGCAACUCCACAUGUUUCUAAAACUCUAUUAAGGUUAUCUCGGGGGCCGAACACAGAUGUCAUUACAUAUGGUGGGUACUAUAUUAACAAUAUCUCUUUUCAGACAAAGGAAGAAGAUGAUAAAAGUAGAGUUCAAAAUAAUGGGGUUACACUAAAAGCUGAUUCAGUGCACUUCUCUAGUUCUAAAGACAAAAAUUCAAUCACUGCAUCAAUUAGUUAUUUUGGAAUAAUACAAGAAAUAUGGGAGGUGGAUUAUGUGAGGUUUAGAGUCCCCGUUUUCAAGUGUAAAUAGGUUGAUAUAAAUUCUAGAAUUUUCACUGAUGGCUCUGGUUUCACAUUAGUAGAUCUUAAAAAGAUGAGUUUCACUGAUGAACCAUUUAUUAUGGCAAGUCAAGCAAGGCAAAUAUUCUAAGUCAGUGAUCCAACGAAUGAAAAAUGGUCAGUGGUUUUGGAAGGAAAAAACAUGCACGGGUUUGAUGAUGAAGAAUCUCUUGAUACACUUGAGACAACAUGUGGCACAUCAAGACCCAUUGAAGACUCAACUGAUGACGUUGCCGAUGACAUACAUGCAAUUCGUAGUGAUCACGAUGAAGGGAUAUGGGAGAAAACAAUAUCUUAAUAAGUAACGUCUUGUUUUUUGUAUAGACUUAAUAUGAAAUUUUAUUCAGAUGAAAAUUUCAAUUUCAAUUCAUACUAACCUUGUAUAUAUUUUUCAGGUAUGUCAACCUCAGACUUAGCAUCAGGACAGACCAGACGUACAUGAGGAGUGACACGUUUGCCAGUUGAUGAACCAUUUAUUAUGGCAAGUCAAGCGAGGCAAAUAUUCUACGUUAGUGAUCCAGCGAAUGAAAAAUGGUCAGUGGUUUUGGAAGGAAAAAACAUGCACGGGUUUGAUGAUGAAGAAUCACUUGAUAUACUUGAGACAACAUGUGGCACAUCAAGACCCAUUGAAGACUCAAUUGAUGACGUUGCCGAUGACAUACAUGCAAUUCGUAGUGAUCACGAUGAAGGGAUCUAGGAGAAAAUAAUAUAUUAGUAAGUAACGUCUUGUUUUUGUUUAUACUUUAUAUGAACUUUUAUUCAGAUGAAAAUAUCAAUUUCAAUUCAUACUAACCUUGUAUAUAUUUUUCAGGUAUGUCGACCUCAGACUCAGCAUCAGGACAGACCAGACGUACACGAGGAGUGACACGUUUGCCAGAAGCGACAUCCGGACAGGUUCCUGGGCAGAGGAGACAUCUUGAGAUUGACCCUAGAACCGGUGUGGCAUUAGGGCCAAAUGCUGAUAGAUUUAGUAGUUAUCUAGUUAAGAGUUGAGCGAAUGAGUUGGGGCUUGAGUCCCCGGACCUAGCACUUCCACCUACAAGGUACGAGAUGUGGAAGGCUGCUCUGACGAAAUCAGAUGGGAACAUGACAUCUGCCUCAGCCGUAUUGAUCUCACAGAGAAUUGUAAGUUGAAAUUGUAAACAUUGUUUGAUUGUGUUUUUAUCAUAUCUUGCAAUUUAAGUAACGUAACAAUUUUAAUGUGUAGGAUGAGUUGGUUGAGCAGCAGACACAGGGAACAUUUAUUCCCAAAGGUAGGGAGGACAUAUUAACAACGACCAUUGGAAAACUGGAGCACCUAGGACGUGUACGUGCAGUUCUUGGGUCGAUUGGUCUUCGUGACUACUUUGGCCCUGUACAACAAAAAAACUCAAUCAACGAAUCAGGAGACAUUGAGGCAGAUGAAUCUUCAGUGGGAACAAAGAUUUCAUCAAAUGGAGGAGCAAUUCAAUGAGCAGCUACAAGAACAAAAACAAAUACAAAGAAUGCUUGAAGAGAAGCUGCAAUCCAUGACACAGGGCACCCUGGGUGUGCCCACUAAAACUCCCACACCACCUCCUUCAACAACUAAAAAAUCAUGCUUGACUGUUGAACCUACUGACUACAUUGGUCAGUAUGAAUUGUUGGUUAAUGGGGAUCCCACAUGGAUUAUGGCUGUCGGACGAAUAGUUGAGGGAGGCCAGACUAUUCAUGGUGUUCCCAUAUCACCCCAGCACGUGCGCGUCAUGAUUGACGAGGUUCAGGAACCCCAGGCUCAGGUGCCUGUACCCACUCCAGAAGUUCAAUUUAUGGGGGAGGCCAUAGGAAGUUUUUUAGCUUGGCCUAGAGCAUUGGUUAUCACACACAUUGGUACACAAGAGGUAUAAUAUUUUUAUCAUUACUAAUUUUAUAUUAUCAUUUAAAAAUAUUUGUUCAUAAGUUUGAAAAUUUUAUCUUCAGUUCACACGUCCUCAAAAGAAGUUGAUGCAUGAGGCACCAAUACCUGAAUAUGAUGAUGGUGAUGACAUGGCUGAAGCGGAGGAUGAUCCCAUAGCAAAACUAUUGUCAAACAUUCCCAAGUUCAACAAAAGAUCAAUACAAAUAUACUGGGAUUUACGAGUAUUUGGUCUCCCCCCAUAUGCUAGUAUAUAUCACAUUCAAUGAUGUAUCGGAGAUCAUUGCGGGAGACAAGAUGUUGAAAUAUUUCCAUUAUUCAACUCUGGUGCAUGUAAGAUAGUUAAUUUUGUCUACCAUAAUAUUUUAAUUUAGAUGCCUACUUUGUAACAAGUUAAGUUUGUUGUUAUAGGUACAUGGACACAGUCAUUGUAGACUGUUAACUCCCUGGCAAGUGUACCAGAUCGUACCAAGUAGUAAUAAGACGGGUAAGUCCGAAUAUCAUUUCCCAAAGGAACUCUCAGGCCUUAACGUUCAUGUAGAUCAAUUGCACAAAACUUGAGAAGAAAAGAAUUUGUUGUGUUGGAUGCAAAUAAAAAAUAGAAACAUGCAAAUGCAAAUGAAUCAAUUGGCAAAAGAAGAAUAUAUGGAUGAAUGGAGUUGUUGGGGUUUACAAUUUCAUCUUAUCCACUCUCUUUUAUCUACUCUUCUUAUCUAAUUAUCUUAUUUAUCAUAUUGUUAUGCAAACUUUCUUAAUCUAUCCUAAACCCAAUCUCUUGGCGAAAAGAGCCGAUUACUAAUCACUGGCUUGCUAUCUCUAGCCUCCCCUAAUGAUUAAUAAUGCAUAAAGAUUGGAAGCAAAUGCAAUUGAAUGUCCUACCCCUAUUUCUAGGCGGUAUUUGCAAACAUGGAUGGAUGAGUCAAAGAGAGAUAUACCUUGUGCCAUACAUUGAUGGGUAUGUGUUGUUUUAUGUAAAAGGUAAUUAAAGUUUACUUAAUUAGUUUACUAACUAUUUAUGAUGUUCCAAACAGGGCUCACUGGAAGCUGGUGGUCCUCAUUCCCAAAAAAAAUACAGUUGUCUUCUUCUGUUCGUUGCAAAGGAAGAUGAAAAAUGACUUCGAAACCAUGCUUCAAGGGUAAGUGUUUCGCUAAAAAUGACUUUCAAAUUCAUGUCGGCCUUAAUUUUUUAUGAUUUCAUACUUAUAUUAAUAUUACUUUCUGUUUUAAUGUAAAUAGAGUAAUGGGUAAAUCUCGAGGUCAACUAAAUCAAGUCUUGUAUCCCAAGGUUUGGUGCAUUUAUAGUUUUAAAUCAUUUACUAUGUUAUUCAAUGAUCUUAAUUCUUGACUAUAGUUAGUUUGUCAUUUUAGUGUAACAGACAACUAGAUUCAUGGGAAUGUGGGUACUAUGUCAUGUCAUGGAUUAAGACCAUCAUUCGAGCUGGCAUUAAAGAUAACUAGAAUGAGGUAAUAAUCAGGCUUACUUUGAAAACAUCAAAAAUCAAUUAAUACUUUUGAACAUAUAUCAAACCAUAAUCAAUAUUUCUUAAUUGUGCAACGCUUCAACAAUUCAUCUCCUUUACCUGAAGGCACGAUAAAGCAGCUAAGGCAGGAGUGAACAACUUAUCUUCUGCAAAAGUGGAACUAGCAAGACUUAUUUUUGUUGUUUUAAAUUACUUAGGUUUAGUUUAAGUUUAUAAUUUCAUUUUUUUGAUCUUUGAUUGAAUUAUAUCUAUUUAUAGCUCAAACAAACAAUAUUUAUUAUAAACAAAUGUUCUGGGAAAAUUUUCUGAAUUUCAGGUGUGGUUUUAUUCGAAAAAUAAAAUAUUUAUUAAAAAAAAACUACCCAGUAGACAUCGGUUAAUGCAAAACCGACGUUUAUAGACGACGACUAAUGCUCAAAUAGAUGUCCAAUAAGUUACAAUGGACAAAACUUUCCAGAGCGUAUAGACGUCUCCUUUGUUGACCACUGACGUCAAAGUUAACGUCUGUUGUGGCUAUGCCUGACGUUUAUUGCCACGUCGUCUUUCCACACAGCCGACGUCAACAUAGACGUCUGCCAUAACCUGACUGAUGUAAAGUUAACGUCACUGGAAUAGACUUCGGUGCAAUAGGUGACGUCAAAAGCCCAAAAUAGCCGACGUUAAACAGUGUUUUUCCACUAGUGAAGCGUUUAGAAGAGAUAAAUCAAUAAGCACACAAUUGUUUUUAUAUUGGUUCACUCCACCAAGUUACGUCCAGUCUCUUCUAACACCUUAGAGGGUUCCACUAUAAUUUUUAACAAGAUUACAACUUAUUAUUCUCAACAUUCAUGGUAUCCUUAGUCACUCCAAGUAACCACCGUUACUUUGACUAGUUGAGUUUCACCCACUCCUAGUUGCACAGUAUUCUUCACCACUCCUGAUAUCCCUAGACAAUCUAGAUAUCUUCCCGAUAUGUUGUCUAGUUAAGUUCACCCACUCCUGGUUUCCACUAGGCACACCCUUCUAACUAACAUUUAACUCCACCUAAUUAAAUGUUAAAGUUUCACCCGCUCUUGGUUUUCACUAGACAAAUUGUUUAACUACCAUUUAACUCCUCAAAGAUAAACAUAAAGUACUUUAAUUUUCUUCAGAAUUUACAAUCAAAAGAUUGAUUACAAGUCCUUAGAUGAUAACUCUCGCAGAGAGGAUACAUGUUCUAUACAAUUCAAUCUAUAAAACUCAUUAAGUCUUUUCUCUCUUGUCUCUUCUUAUAGUUGUAAGCUUAUAUAUGAAUAAAGCUUGAGAGUGUUGUAAUCUUGAGCUUUUUCUCUUCUUAGAUAUUCUCUUUUGAGUUCAUGAGCUUUUUUGAGCUUUUCUCUCGAUGACGUUCACUUAUGUUUUUUUUUAUGUAUGUUAUUAUCUUGAUUCUUUCUUUAAAUCAUCUUCUAUUUAAAGGCUUCUAUAUAGACAUCUGUUAGACAAAGCUUUGGCCUGGAUUCUUGAGUCUUAUUAGUCUUGUUGUGUAAAGCAUCCGCUGGUUAAAUUCAUCUUUUCUGUAGGUUUUCUUUUUCAAUACUUUGACAAAAGUAGGUAGUAUUAUUUAUCUGGUACGACUUCUGAUGGAGAGAACAUUCUAUGAAUGUCUUCUUUGUUCCUAACGUCCCCUUAUGAUUUUUAUAAGAUGAAGCAGGUGGAUACGUGUAAUAGGCAAUCUACACAAAGUAGAGUAGAUAUGCAUGCAACAUAUAUGUAUUUUGUCUUAUCACUUUUGUCGUUUUUAAACGUUGAGCAUUUAAUGACAUUCAUUAUCUGUUCAGAACAACAAAGUGCUCUUUGUGUUUUUUACCAUUCAGGUAGGAUUUUAUCAUUUAAGCUUCAUCCUAAGAUACCAAUUAUUUGAUUGAGGACUUCAUCGUUAGAUGAAGUGAAUCGUUUAACACAUGCUAUCGUGUAGCCUAUGUAAACGCUUUAGGAUUUUUCUCUACUCUAUUUAACACAUAUGCAUUUAGCAAGGUGUUUUCUAACAUAAGUUUUUGAAAUGUCAUUUGAGAAUUUUAGCAUGCUUUCCAAAAACAUUUUCUUGACACUUUUACCUACUUAACCAUAUUGAGAGUUUGACUAAUUACCGCCUGGUAUAAUAUAACAUUUGUGUAUAGCAAGACUCUCAUUGACGCUUUAACUUGGGAAUCCUUUAGUGGUGCAUCUAGUUUAUGGCUAGUUUUUUUUUUAAUAUGGAAGUUAUCCUUGGGAUAUCAAGAGUUGUUGGAGGUUGUGAAAGAUGGUGCACGAGAGAAGGACGAAGCCGCAAAUAAGAAGAAAGAUAUCAAGUCUCAUUGUCUUUUCCAUCAAUGUGUGGAUACAAUGAACUUUGAGAAAAUUUUCAAAGCAAGAACAACAAAUGAGGCAUGGGAUAUACUAUAGAAGGCGCAUAGAGGUGCGGAGAAAAGAAAGAAAGUGAUAUUGCAGUCUCUUAGAAGGCAGUAUGAGUUACUGUAUAUGUAUGAUUCUAAAACGAUUGCAAAAUAUCUCAAUCAAUUGCAGUUCCUGGUAAACUCAAUGAGAGUGUGUGAAGAGUUUGCAACUGAUCAGAACAUGGUUGAGAAAAUAUUGCCCAUGUUCUCUCCAAAGUUCAACUACAUCGUGGUGGCAAUAGAAAAGUCCAAAGAUAUAGAAAAUAUGAUUGUGGAAGAGUUGAAGGCUCUUUGGAGGCACGUGAGUUGAAACUAUUAUCGCAAAAUGCUGACAAGGUUGGGGAGGAACAAGCCUUGUAGGUGCAGGUAGCAAAGAAAUGGGGUCUUUUUUGAGGAAAAUGGAAAAAUAAUAAAGGUGGACGAUUCAAUAAAGAUCUGAAACAAGAACCCAAUAGUGCUUCUCCUAUCAUCAUCACCGCACCAAUUAGAAUCUGACCAGCCAACCAAUUCAUCUUGCAAAAUCCACAAAGUCUAACAGAGGGAGUUUUAGCAAAGGGAGAGGAGGAAAGAGGAAUCAAGACAAAAAGAAUAUACAGUGUUAUAAUUGUGAUAAGUGGGGACACUAUGCAAUUGAUUGUUGGCCUCUAUUCUAAUUAGAUGUAAAAUUUGCCUUUUUGAAUGGACCACUUGAAGAAGAGGUUUAUGUCACUCAACCUCCUGGGUUUGAGAUUAAAUGGUGUGAAAACAGUGGGUAUAAGUUAAGGAAGGAAUUAUAUGGUCUAGAGCUGGCACCAAGAGCUUGGAAUAUGGAUUUGUUCAUGUUAAAGCACAAGUUUCUGAAAUGUCUAGUGGAACAUGGUGUGAAUGUAAGGUUCCAAGAUGUUGCAAAUUUACUCCUAAUGUGCAUUUAUGUGGAUGACUAAUUGAUCAUAGGGAGGAAUAUCUCAGAAAUUGAGAAAUUUAAAGGAUUGUUGAUGGCUGAAUUUGAAAUAACUUAUUUGGGAAAGUUGAGGUGCUUUUUUGGGCUUGAGUUUGUUAAAUCCAGUAGUGGAAUUAUUUCCCACCAAAGGAAAUAUGCAAUAGAGAUCUUAAAGAAAUUCAACAUGGAAAUCUGUAAUGCAGCAACAACCCCCAGCAGAGGCAAAGAUUACUACCUGUGAUAAUGAUGAAGAAGAAGUUAACAACACCCUAUAUAAACAAAUGGUUGGUUCACUCAAGUACGUAUGUUACAACAAGCUUGAUAUUUGUUUUGGAGUUGGAGUUCUUAGUAGAUUCAUGCAUCAACCAAAGAAAAUGCACUUACUAGCUACAAAAAGGGUGCUAAGAUAUGUAAAGAGAACAUUAGAGUUUGGUGUAUUGUUUCCUAAAAACAGUAAGGUGCAAGAUGAAUUGUUUGGCUGAUCAGAUUCUAACUGUUGUGGGGAUGGCAGUGAUAGAAGAAACAAUAAUGGAUUAUUGUUCAAAUUUAUGCGUGAACCAAUCUCUUGGUGUAGCAAAAGGCAACAGGUUGUGACAUUGUCCACUCGUGUGGAAGAAUAUAUAGAUGGAUCUUCUACUGCAUGUCAAGCUACAUGACUUGAUUCUAUUUUAACAGCAAUGAAAGUAGAAAUUAAAAGACUCACCCAACUGUUUAUUGAUAAUAAAUCAACAAUUAAAUUUGGUUAAUAAUCUUGUGUUACAUGGAAAGAGCAAACACAGAAAAAUCAGAUUUAUUUUUUGAGAAAACAAGUCAACAAUGGAAGACUAAAACUAAUGUAGUACUCCACUCAUUUACAUCUAAUGUUUUUACUAAACCUUUAAAGGUCAGAUUUGAUAGUCUCAUAUAUGAGUUAGACUUAGUUAGUUUUAGUACUUGAAUUAAAAAAAAUUGUAUUAAUUCAAAUAUUGUUUUUCAUUUUCUAAUUUCUAUGUUUUGUUAUUGACUAUAAUAAAAAGUCAUUUAUUCUUUUUUUAAAUGUUAAUAGUAAAAUAUCAUUUACACAUAAGUCUUUUCUAUAUGUAUAUUCCCUCUUUCUCUUUUCUAUACGUAUAUGCUUUUGGGUAUGGCUUAAUGAUGGUAUUAAUUUUCUUUAGAUACAGUGGUACCACGCUAGAAAUUUUGAGUACUUCCUUUUGUUUGGUAAGUAAGGAUGCAUGUCAAAUGGUUUCAUUCUUUGGUUAGCGUGAAGGGAUGGUGACAUGUGGAUGACCAAUUAAUACAUAUAUAUCAGGGGUUCUUAUUUUCGGGUUUUUGUUCCAUAUUCGUCCUCGAUUUAUUUUUUUUGUCAAUUAAAUUUCUAAAAUUGAAAAAUUGAAAGAAAUUGAUCUCUGUCAUUAAAUUAAGUUAACAUGAUUAAUUUUUUCUUUAUGUGUGAAGGUGAGGUAGACAAAUAUGAUGACAUGACGUGCAUAAUGAGUUUUAUUAUGCACGUGAGAGUAACUUAAAAAUUUGGAGUUUUUUUUAAAGAUUUUAAAAUUAAGGUUUCUUUAAAAUAGAAUUAGGAUUAAAAUUCUACGAGAAAUCUGAAUCACAUUGUUUCACAAGCAGGUGAAUUUGGUAAAUCGAUAUCCCUUUAUCUCCUUCGAGCAUUUUCUACAAAGCUCUUCGGCAACGCGCCGGAACGAGGCACUGCAACCGCUGCCUCUCUAUUUUCGGACGACAACCCCUUUCGGAGAAAACCUGCUCCACUUUCCGAAACAAUGAACCAAGCUUACAUCCCUAACAACGGCAACGUCACCCAGAAUCGCGAUGCCGGUGACGAGAAGAAGCGCAAGAAGAACAAAGAGAAAAGCCCAGCCCUUGAUCCAGUUUCUGUAACCGAAGUUUUGGAGAAAUUGAAGAAGAAGAGGAAACGCGGUUCUGAUGAAGGAAGAGAAGGAGGCCUUGAUUUGGGUGCAGAAGCAGUUGGGAAAAGAAAGAGGAAAAGGGACGAAGUUGAAAGAGAGUGGGAGAAGAGAUAUGGGCUCAUGGAGAAAAAGGACCAAAAUGUUAGUAAUUUUUUUGUUGUAUCUGCUCUUGAAGCUGAACUAGAGCAGGCUCGUGCACAGAUUCAGGAGCUUGAGACUGAGCGCCACUCCUCCAAAAAGAAACUUGAACAUUUCUUGAAGAAAGUGGGUGAAAAGAGGGCCUCAUGGCGAAGCAAAGAGCAUGAGAAAAUUNGUGCUUAUGUUGAUGACAUUAAAUCAGAGUUGAGUCGAGAAAGGAAAAGCCGCCAGAGGAUUGAAAUUGUCAAUUCCAGGCUGGUUAAUGAGUUAGCUGAUACCAAGUUAUUAGCAAAACGCUACAUACAGGAUUAUGAGAAGGAAAGGAAAGCCAGAGAAUUAAUUGAGGAAAUCUGUGAUGAGCUUGCUAAGGAAAUUGGAGAAGAUAAGGCUGAAAUUGAAGCACUGAAGAGGGAAUCUAUGAAACUUAGGGAAGAAGUGGAAGAGGAGAGGAAGAUGUUGCAGAUGGCUGAAGUAUGGCGUGAAGAGCGUGUUCAUAUGAAAUUGAUUGAUGCCAAAGUUGCAUUUGAUGAAAAGUACUCACAGAUGAAUAAAUUGAUUGUUGAUUUGGAAACCUUUUUCAAAUCAAUGAAUGUGAACCCUAAUGCAAAGAAUAAAGCAUGUUAAAACUUGUAAACUUGUCAGCCCAAGGAUUAUUCAAACUAACCUGGUUCUUAUAGUAUGAUACAUCAGACCAACUAAUCGGUGGCAUGGUGUAAAGUAAUCCCUUCUCCACGUAUCAUCCACAGCUUCAUCCACAACUGAGAGAGA
This 15903-nucleotide long non-coding RNA is filed under the name Vigna radiata. RNAcentral's name for it is "long non-coding RNA (VRAD_LNC000413)". Lineage: Eukaryota; Viridiplantae; Streptophyta; Magnoliopsida; Fabales; Fabaceae. The record is from RNAcentral.